UUUUGCAUCCCAUAGACAACUCUUAUAAAAUGAUUAAAAAAAAAAAAAACUUUUAACCACAGCAUAUGAUCACUCACCUGCUCCUUGAAUUAUGCUGGGACUACGGAGCUUCUACGUGUUAAAAUGCGAGCUUGUGUAGUUGUAGGUUCGAUUGUCUAUUUGUUCUUUAAUAACUAUGAAAUAUGAAGUAUAGAUUUAUUUUAUCAAAGUUAAAUAAAAGAAAAUUUAUAUAUAUAGUUUUUCAAAAGUGAUGAGAUUAUAUUGAAAUUUUAACAUCUAACCUCUUGUAAUAAGCAACAAAUACUCGAUUAUUAAAUUAUUAGAGUAGUCCAAUGACAGAUCAAUGAAACCAUAAAUUAUAAGGUUGUUGAAUUCUUUUAAUGAAAGAAUAACUGUCUUUAUAUAAAGCAACAAUAAAAUUGUAGACAAUUAAUAUAUUUUUCUAAUUAAAUUUUCUUAUUAAAUAAAUUUAAAAUAAUUAUCAUAUUGUUGAUAUAUAAUUGAUAUUAGAUUCAUAUUAAAUAGCAAUUAAUAUAAAUUAAUGUGCUGAUGUUCCAUUAAUUAUUUUAUAUAUUGCUCAAU
RNAcentral lists this unclassified non-coding RNA (582 nucleotides) under Hevea brasiliensis (rubber tree). Lineage: Eukaryota; Viridiplantae; Streptophyta; Magnoliopsida; Malpighiales; Euphorbiaceae. The record is from RNAcentral.